This is a long non-coding RNA of Globicephala melas (long-finned pilot whale), 493 nucleotides long. RefSeq lists it as uncharacterized. NCBI's taxonomy places the organism in Eukaryota, Metazoa, Chordata, Mammalia, Artiodactyla, Delphinidae. The record is from RefSeq and is a predicted model, not a curated record.
AGGAUAACUGGCGGGAUUCAACUUUAGUGGCUGGACACUACUCACCCUGAGGCUGCUGCAGCUAAUCGACCCUGGAACAACUGACAAAAGUCAGCAGAAGGUCCUGGGGGUUCGGCUCGGAUUUGGCUCCGCCUCUGCAUGUAGGUCGCCGGAGGGCGUCUGUUCUUCACUCAGACAGGACCAGGUCCAGACUUUUCCCCGGACUCCAUCCUGGCUAGCCGUGGUGCACUAACCCCCUGCAGGCUGUGUUCACGCCACCAACCCCAGUCCUUUCCCUGCGCUCCGACAGAAGCCUGAGCCUCAGCUCCCAGCCCCGCCCGCCCCGGCGGGUGAGCAGACAAGCCUCUCAAGCUGAAAAAGAAGAGAAUACAAAGGCAGGCCUUUCACACAUGAAGCAAAAGGAAUAAAACCCUAAGUCCACUGGAAGGAAGAGAAGAGACGAAGAAUUCAAGGACAUAAUGGGCAAGAGGUGAGUCACGAGCAAUGAGCAAAC